Molecule: ribosomal RNA, 245 nt
Filed under: uncultured bacterium
Lineage: Bacteria
Description: partial 16S ribosomal RNA
Rfam family: Bacterial small subunit ribosomal RNA
Source: RNAcentral
UACAGAGGUCUCAAGCGUUGUUCGGAUUCAUUGGGCGUAAAGGGUGCGUAGGCGGCGAAGCAAGUCAGGUGUGAAAUCCCGGAGCUUAACUCCGGAACUGCACUUGAUACUGUUUUGCUUGAGGACUGGAGAGGAGAUCGGAAUUCACGGUGUAGCAGUGAAAUGCGUAGAUAUCGUGAGGAAGGCCAGUGGCGAAGGCGGAUCUCUGGACAGUUCCUGACGCUGAGGCACGAAGGCCAGGGGAG